This 1020-nucleotide long non-coding RNA is filed under the name Oncorhynchus mykiss (rainbow trout). RNAcentral describes it as "lncRNA (ENSOMYG00000067842.1)". The record is from RNAcentral. Lineage: Eukaryota; Metazoa; Chordata; Actinopteri; Salmoniformes; Salmonidae.
AUGUGUAGGCCCUUCCGGCGCCCUUCCGGCGCCCUUCCGGCGCCGACAGAGAUGGCCGCCUCGCUUCGCGUUCCUAGGAAACUACGCAGUUUUUUGUUUUUUUACAUGUUAUUUCUUACAUUAGUACCCCAGGUCAUCUUAGGUUUCAUUACAUGCAGUCGAGAAGAACUACUGAAUAUAAGAUCAGCAUCAACUCACCAUCAGUACUACCAAGAAUAUGUUUUUCGCGACGCGGAUCCUGUGUUCUGCGUUACAAACAGGACAACUGAGUGGAUUCCAUGCAGCGACCCAAAAAAAAAACAACUCAGAAAAAGAGGGAAACGAGGCGGUCUUCUGGUCAGACUCCGGAGACGGGCACACCGUGCACCACUCCCUAGCAUUCUUCUUGCCAAUGUCCAGUCUCUUGACAACAAGGUUGAUGAAAUCCGAGCAAGGGUAGCAUUCCAGAGGGACAUCAGAGACUGUAAUGUUCUUUGCUUCACGGAAACGUGGCUCACUGGAGAGACUCUAUCCGAAGCGGUGCAGCCAACGGUUUUCUCCACACAUCGCGCAGACAGAAACAAACAUCUUUCUGGUAAAAAGAGGGGCGGGGGUGUAUGCCUUAUGACUAACGUGACAUGGUGUGAUGAAAGAAACAUACAGGAACUCAAAUCCUUCUGUUCACCUGAUUUAGAAUUCCUCACAAUCAAAUGUAGACCGCAUUAUCUACCAAGAGAAUUCUCUUCGAUUAUAAUCACAGCCGUAUAUAUCCCCCCCCAAGCAGACACAUCGAUGGCUCUGAACGAACUUUAUUUAACUCUUUGCAAACUGGAAACCAUUCAUCCGGAGGCUGCAUUCAUUGUAGCUGGGGAUUUUAACAAGGCUAAUCUGAAAACAAGACUCCCUAAAUUUUAUCAGCAUAUCGAUUGCGCAACCAGGGGUGGAAAGACCUUGGAUCAUUGUUACUCUAACUUCCGCGACGCAUAUAAGGCCCUGCCCCGCCCCCUUUCGGAAAAGCUGACCACGACUCCAUUUUGUUGA